This 257-nucleotide long non-coding RNA is filed under the name Nicotiana benthamiana. Its description in RNAcentral is "long non-coding RNA (NBEN_LNC013173)". The record is from RNAcentral. Lineage: Eukaryota; Viridiplantae; Streptophyta; Magnoliopsida; Solanales; Solanaceae.
AGCAUCAGCUACAUCACGAGAAGAAUUAGAAGACGACUCUGCCAUCACGAGAAGAAUUAGAAGAAGACUCUGCCACGAGAAGAAUUAGAAGAGGACUCUGCAAUAACAAAACGAGCAUCAGCUAAUCCAUCACCAUUAUCGCAGAAAUAGACACUGAAUUGGCCACCAAAAACAGCAAUAUCCCAGAUUGUUGACCUCCAAAAUCAGCUCCAGCAAACCCUACAGAAUCGCCAUUGUUGGUUAGAGAAAUGGAAGCG